UAGUAGUAUUAAAUAUUUAAAAAAUAUUUAAAAGUUGGAUGGACAAACUUACUGAC
This 56-nucleotide transfer RNA is filed under the name Ulva gigantea. Its description in RNAcentral is "tRNA-Phe". The record is from RNAcentral. Lineage: Eukaryota; Viridiplantae; Chlorophyta; Ulvophyceae; Ulvales; Ulvaceae.